This 484-nucleotide ribosomal RNA is filed under the name uncultured bacterium. RNAcentral describes it as "partial 16S ribosomal RNA". It matches the Rfam family "Bacterial small subunit ribosomal RNA", at positions 30 to 507 of the family's 1533-position model. The record is from RNAcentral.
AUUGAACGCUGGCGGCAGGCCUAACACAUGCAAGUCGAGCGGAUGAAGGGAGCUUGCUCCUGGAUUCAGCGGCGGACGGGUGAGUAAUGCCUAGGAAUCUGCCUGGUAGUGGGGGAUAACGUCCGGAAACGGGCGCUAAUACCGCAUACGUCCUGAGGGAGAAAGUGGGGGAUCUUCGGACCUCACGCUAUCAGAUGAGCCUAGGUCGGAUUAGCUAGUUGGUGGGGUAAAGGCCUACCAAGGCGACGAUACGUAACUGGUCUGAGAGGAUGAUCAGUCACACUGGAACUGAGACACGGUCCAGACUCCUACGGGAGGCAGCAGUGGGGAAUAUUAGACAAUGGGCGAAAGCCUGAUCCAGCCAUGCCGCGUGUGUGAAGAAGGUCUUCGGAUUGUAAAGCACUUUAAGUUGGGAGGAAGGGCAGUAAGUUAAUACCUUGCUGUUUUGACGUUACCAACAGAAUAAGCACCGGCUAACUUCGUG